Molecule: transfer RNA, 67 nt
Filed under: Potamilus alatus
Lineage: Eukaryota; Metazoa; Mollusca; Bivalvia; Unionida; Unionidae
Description: tRNA-Glu
Source: RNAcentral
GUCAGUUUAGUAUAGACACUUACGUCGGACUUUCAAACCGAAAACACUAACUCAAAUGUAACUGACC